UACGUAGGGAGCAAGCGUUGUCCGGAAUUAUUGGGCGUAAAGAGUGUGUAGGCGGCUUGGUAAGUCCGCUCUGAAAGCCAGGGGCUCAACCCCUGGAGGCGGGUGGAUACUGUCAAGCUUGAGUCCGGAAGAGGCGAGUGGAAUUCCCGGUGUAGCGGUGAAAUGCGCAGAUAUCGGGAGGAACACCAAUUGCGAAGGCAGCUCGCUGGGACGUGACUGACGCUGAGACACGAAAGCGUGGGGAGCAAACAGG
This 253-nucleotide ribosomal RNA is filed under the name uncultured bacterium. RNAcentral describes it as "partial 16S ribosomal RNA". It matches the Rfam family "Bacterial small subunit ribosomal RNA", at positions 524 to 776 of the family's 1533-position model. The record is from RNAcentral.